Molecule: non-coding RNA, 46 nt
Organism: Schistosoma mattheei
Lineage: Eukaryota; Metazoa; Platyhelminthes; Trematoda; Strigeidida; Schistosomatidae
Source: Rfam
GCACUGCUGACGAGUCCCAUAAUAGGACGAAACGGCCGUCCAGUGC